CCCUUAGAUGUUCUGGGCCGCACGCGUGCUACACUGAGUAAUUCAAUAGGUAAGGGAACGCUAGAGCAUUACCUAAUCUUGAAAUUUGCUCGUGAUGGGGAUCGACGGUUGCAAUUUUCCGUCGUGAACGAGGAAUACCUUGUAGGCGCAUGUCAUCAUCAUGCGCCGAAUACGUCCCUGCCCUUUGUACACACCGCCCGUCGCUCCUACCGAUUGAGUGAUCCGGUGAGGCUCUGGGACCUGGACGGAAAGAGCGUUUCGCUUGUUCUGUUUGGGAAACUUGGUCGAACCUUAUCAUUUAGAGGAAGGAGAAGUCGUAACA
Molecule: ribosomal RNA, 322 nt
Filed under: uncultured eukaryote
Lineage: Eukaryota
Description: partial 18S ribosomal RNA
Rfam family: Eukaryotic small subunit ribosomal RNA
Source: RNAcentral